AUUGAACGCUGGCGGCAGGCCUAACACAUGCAAGUCGAACGAGUGGCGGACGGGUGAGUAAUGUCUGGGAAACUGCCUGAUGGAGGGGGAUAUCUACUGGAAACGGUAGAUAAUACCGCAUACCAUCGGGUGUGACCAGAUGGGAUUAGUUAGUAGGUGGGGUAAAGGCUCACCUAGGCGACGAUCCAGAGCUGGUCUGAGAGGAUGACCAGCCACACUAGAGCUGAGACACGGUCCAGAAUCCUACUGGAGCCAGCAGUGGCGAAUAUUUCUGAAUGGGCGCGAGUCUGAUGCAGCCAUGCCGCGUGUAUGAAGAAGGCCUUCGGAUUGUAAAGUACUUUCAUCGGUGAGGCGUUACCUGUAGAAGGAGCACCGGCUAACUCCGUGCCAGCAGCCGCGGUAAGUG
This 406-nucleotide ribosomal RNA is filed under the name uncultured bacterium. RNAcentral's name for it is "partial 16S ribosomal RNA". It matches the Rfam family "Bacterial small subunit ribosomal RNA", at positions 30 to 527 of the family's 1533-position model. The record is from RNAcentral.